Molecule: unclassified non-coding RNA, 172 nt
Filed under: uncultured fungus
Lineage: Eukaryota; Fungi
Description: sequence contains ITS1, 5.8S rRNA gene
Source: RNAcentral
CUGGGUCAUGGGCUCCGGCCCGCCAACCCGCCCUCUGUCAUGGAAAACGAAAUGCUUCGGCCGACGGUCCUGCGAGCGCCUGGCGAGAGCCACGGCGCGGACGGGGCCGCGGUCGGUCUCCUAAGCCCUGAGUGCAUGCUUGUGGUCUGAAUCUAAAGUAAAAACGAAACCA